CCUACGGGAGGCAGCAGUGAGGAAUAUUGGUCAAUGGCCGUAGGGCUGAACCAGCCAAGUCGCGUGAGGGAAGAAGGAUCUAUGGUUUGUAAACUUCUUUUAUAGGGGAAUAAAGGUAUCCACGUGUGGAUAUUUGCAUGUACCCUAUGAAUAAGCAUCGGCUAACUCCGUGCCAGCAGCCGCGGUAAUACGGAGGAUGCGAGCGUUAUCCGGAUUUAUUGGGUUUAAAGGGUGCGUAGGUUGUGUUUUAAGUCAGCGGUGAAAGUUUGUGGCUCAACCAUAAAAUUGCCGUUGAAACUGGAAGUCUUGAGUGUGUGUGAGGUAGGCGGAAUGCGUGGUGUAGCGGUGAAAUGCAUAGAUAUCACGCAGAACUCCGAUUGCGAAGGCAGCUUACUAAGCCAUAACUGACACUGAAGCACGAAAGCGUGGGGAUCAAACAGGAUUAGAUACCCCAGUAGUC
This 460-nucleotide ribosomal RNA is filed under the name uncultured bacterium. RNAcentral's name for it is "partial 16S ribosomal RNA". It matches the Rfam family "Bacterial small subunit ribosomal RNA", at positions 338 to 795 of the family's 1533-position model. The record is from RNAcentral.